RNAcentral lists this transfer RNA (71 nucleotides) under Gregarina niphandrodes. It matches the Rfam family "tRNA". From Rfam's summary of the family: Transfer RNA (tRNA) molecules are approximately 80 nucleotides in length. Their secondary structure includes four short double-helical elements and three loops (D, anti-codon, and T loops). The record is from Rfam by way of RNAcentral. Lineage: Eukaryota; Apicomplexa; Conoidasida; Eugregarinorida; Gregarinidae.
GCAUAAAUAUUCCAAGGGUAGCAUUGGAGCCUUGCAAGCCUAAAAUCCGGGUUCGAGCCCCGGUUGAUGCA